This 340-nucleotide ribosomal RNA is filed under the name uncultured bacterium. RNAcentral describes it as "partial 16S ribosomal RNA". It matches the Rfam family "Bacterial small subunit ribosomal RNA", at positions 338 to 675 of the family's 1533-position model. The record is from RNAcentral.
CCUACGGGUGGCAGCAGUGAGGAAUAUUGGUCAAUGGUCGAGAGACUGAACCAGCCAAGUAGCGUGAAGGAUGACUGCCCUAUGGGUUGUAAACUUCUUUUAUAUGGGAAUAAAACGCUCCACGUGUGGUGUUUUGUAUGUACCGUAUGAAUAAGGAUCGGCUAAUUCCGUGCCAGCAGCCGCGGUAAUACGGAGGAUCUGAGCGUUAUCCGGAUUUAUUGGGUUUAAAGGGAGCGUAGGUGGAUUGUUAAGUCAGUUGUGAAAGUUUGCGGCUCAACCGUGAAAUUGCAGUUGAAACUGGGAGUCCUGAGGACAGUAGAGGUGGGCGGAAGUCGUGGUG